UUGGAACGCGCUUCGGCGCACCCAGAAACCCUUUGUGAACUUAUACCUAUUUGUUGCCUCGGCGCAGGCCGGCCUCUUCACUGAGGCCCCCUGGAGACAGGGAGCAGCCCGCCGGCGGCCAACCAAACUCUUGUUUCUAUAGUGAAUCUCUGAGUAAAAAACAUAAAUGAAUCAAAACUUUCAACAACGGAUCUCUUGGUUCUGGCAUCGAUGAAGAACGCAGCGAAAUGCGAUAAGUAAUGUGAAUUGCAGAAUUCAGUGAAUCAUCGAAUCUUUGAACGCACAUUGCGCCCUCUGGUAUUCCGGAGGGCAUGCCUGUUCGAGCGUCAUUUCAACCCUCAAGCCUGGCUUGGUGAUGGGGCACUGCCUUCUAACGAGGGCAGGCCCUGAAAUCUAGUGGCGAGCUCGCUAGGACCCCGAGCGUAGUAGUUAUAUCUCGUUCUGGAAGGCCCUGGCGGUGCCCUGCCGUUAAACCCCCAACUUCUGAAAAUUUGACCUCG
This 500-nucleotide ribosomal RNA is filed under the name Diaporthe sp. FLS-2010. RNAcentral describes it as "eukaryotic LSU rRNA". The stretch from base 176 to 329 matches the Rfam family "5.8S ribosomal RNA". The record is from RNAcentral. Lineage: Eukaryota; Fungi; Ascomycota; Sordariomycetes; Diaporthales; Diaporthaceae.